CCUCGCAGCACGUGAUGACGCAGGACGUAGUGUCUCCCUACAUUUCUUCCAGCCAGAGGUUCUGGAGGCGGGGUGGUGUUCAACUAGUACCUGUUUUCCAGCCUGGAAGGGAGUGUGAGGCCACAUUAUGUCUGGGCAAAUUCCUUGUACCCAGACAUCAAGAUUUAUUAGGCAAAGAGCUUAGCUCCUCCUAGAGUUGAGUCAUCUAAGUUUUGACAAAGAUUUUACAUUGAGCUGGUUGAUAAAUACUGUGACUGAAGAGCACUCUAAGGGGAAAGCUACAGAAGCCCUACAGAGUUGAGCCUUGAAGGCCAGGAGUUUUAUAAUACCUUUCCCUCCCACAUUUACUGUAUCUACAGAAGGUAAUAAAAUAUCUUUUUCUUCAUCAGACUUCAGGAAGAUGUGUAGGAAAGAAGCAUAGGGGUGCUGAGAAAUGGGAGGAUAGGUACUAAGACUAUGACCAGAGAGCUGAGCCUUUGUUGGUAGUCCGGUAGAUCUGGUGGUAGGAAAAAAAAAUGUAAUGGAUACUCAGAAAACCAAGAAACCAAUCAUCAAGCCUUAAUAAAGAAGUUGGGUCUCAUUCUGUAGGCGAUGGGACACUUUUAAAGCCUGAAUUUGGAAGAUACUAUUCCUGCUAUCUCGGGAAAGUCACUGUGGGAAGAGGUGGCAAUUCUGUUACUCGGGAGCAAAGUGGAUGAAGAGAGAGUCGCUGGGAAGUUGAUGAAGUCUGAAGCCGUGCAGGUGCAAGUCCGAUGGCACAGCAAUAGGGAUGAGGGAGAAGAAGGCAGAGAUAGUAAAGGAGGGAAGUUGGCUGUUAACCACCAAAGAAUAGAGGCAGAGCAGUGCAUUUUGGGAGUCAGGGCGGUGAUGCUGGACAUGGUGGAGACGCAGAUGAAGUUGGGUGCGUUUUAUAGAUUUGAGAGAGAUUAGAAGAGAGGAUGCAUGGCAGCAAGGAAAAGGACAUCCAGAAAGCUAAGAACAACAAAUGGUGCCGAGACUGUGGAGGAAGAGGAACCCUUCAUCACUGUGGGUGGUUGUGUGAACUGGUCCAGCCGCUGUGGAACUCUGAAUGGAGGUCCUCAGCAAACUAAAAACAGAUCGGCAAGAUGGCCAGCUAUACUACUUCUGUGCACAUAUCCGAAGGCCCUUCAUUCAUAACAGGAUCAGAGUCCAGGCUUUCCAGACUGUACUGAGGUGGCCUAAGUGACCAAUGCAAACACUGUGAUGGCUAUUCAACACGUGAAGCCCAACGCUGUGACAUCAUUUGGACACCAUGCACACUACUAACUUGAGGGUAAUCAGAGCUGCGGACUGAUGGAGUGGAAAGAGUGCUGGGCAGAGGGCCAGAGUCUCAGAGUUCAAGCUUGUUGCUGUAACAUUCGCCAGCUCUGCAUCCUCAGCAAAGAAAUUGCCCGAGUCUUGGAAUCUCUGGAUGACGGACAUGGCCAAUGCUCCUGGCUUCACAUGAAGACGAAAUCAGACCUUAAAUUUUCAUUCGGCAUUCUGUCUGCAGGUUCCUGAUUAUGAAGCUGGAAAUACAUGUGGAGGAUCCUUGACAUGCCCGCUCUGAGCCAUGCCUCCACUCACGGGCCCUGUUUUGACUUCAGGUUUAAAGUCCAGCUGAGUGACUCUCUGUGUUUUCACCAUGGGGCUGCGUCUUUCUUCAAUAUCCAGCUGAGCAGAAAGAAGCAAUGUCCGUCUCUGCAAUCUGUUCUAGUGCAGACACCCGCGACAGGCGACGUCAUCAACUACUUUAGCGUUUCAAGACAAGAAGAGAGAAACAUCUGGGAAGGAAGAGCAUGACAACAUCAGCCUCUGAGGUUUGCAGCCUAGUGUGUCAGCCAUGAUGACUGCAAUCUCUGCUAAAGUUACCAGAAAUAGAUUUCAACUCACAGUGCAGUUUCUCCAUUAGAGCAUUCCGUUUCUAAUGCUCCAUUACCCAGCAAGUGGAAUGCCACCAGAGAAGGAGGUAGAGUCAGCACCAAGCAUCAAAGAAAGAAGAGCAUCUCCCGUGAGUACACACAAAGAAGGAUUGUAUAGUGCUCACUGCAAGCUAACAGGUCAGAUAAGUGAGUUGACUCAUUACUGAAGUGCGAGUUUGUAAACUUCGACUGUGUGGUGGAGCACAGCAGACAGCAGACCAAAGCAAAUUCACAUUCCAGAACUUCCUCAGCCACAGGCUGGAUCUGCUGCCCUGAAAUGGGUGCUUUCGUUUUCUAGGUUCUGCUUUUCUCUUCUGUAAAGUCGUGUGGCUGAUCUCAAAGGUUCUUUCCAGCUCAGGAUCUCUAUGUUUCUAAGCAAGGAACCACGUGCUUUACUGCAAACUCAAGAGCCAGUCAUAAGGGCAAGACACCUUUCACUCUUACUGUCUGCAAAGUCAUACGGAAACAAAAUGAGUAAAAGUGUUCCUUCUAGAAUAAAGCAGAAAGUGCCCUCAUAUGCCUCUGUGGGGAGCAUGACUGUAUUUUGACUCUUUGGCACAUGUAAUUUUUAAAAAAGUUGGGACUCACAUCAUAAAUAAUGUUGAAUGGAGCUUACCAACAUCCAUACAGAAGUACCUAGCAACUUUUCAUGACUGCACUGGGGGAUUCCUUACAUCAAAGACACAUCGUAUUUAUCUCAACAAAGAUACUGGAUGAGAACUUGAAAUGAAUAUGUUAAGCAAUGAGUAGUUUUCAGUCACAAUCCCUGUAAAAACAAAUUUGGGGAAAUUACCAAGCAACAUAUGUGAGGCCAGAGAGAUGCAUUGCUGACUUCUUUUUGUUUACCUGCUAGUAGAGUAUGUUUUAAAUAUUCAUUAAAUUAUUUAAUAUAGGACUUUGAUUAUUAACCUCCAACAAAUAGCUACAUCUUAAAAAUUAAAAUUACAGCUAAGCUCUGGCCUUCAUGUGGGUCUGGAACAACUGGAAUGGAGGCUAUGCAAAAUCUGUUGCCUGUAUGUGGAAUAUGUUGUACUACCUGGGCUACAUUGUGAGUCCUCUGUGGAAGAAGUGCCUAGCCUCAAAGACAUGAAGUGCCAUUGUUGGAGGUCAGGUAUACCCAGGGGGUCCUACCCACUCAGAAGAG
RNAcentral lists this small RNA (3066 nucleotides) under Rattus norvegicus (Norway rat). Its description in RNAcentral is "uncharacterized LOC102554773". The record is from RNAcentral. Lineage: Eukaryota; Metazoa; Chordata; Mammalia; Rodentia; Muridae.